This 220-nucleotide long non-coding RNA is filed under the name Coffea arabica (coffee). Its description in RNAcentral is "long non-coding RNA (CARA_LNC008047)". Lineage: Eukaryota; Viridiplantae; Streptophyta; Magnoliopsida; Gentianales; Rubiaceae. The record is from RNAcentral.
UUAACACCCGGAAACGCUAGUGAAACGUGAAGAAUUCGAGGAUGGCAAGAUUCGAAUCUCAGUGAAAAAACGCUAGCUUGAUAUUCUGAUUCUGGAUUUCUUCUUCUGCCCUUGGUUCCCUUCGUCUGAAACCCCUUUCUUUCUGCUUUCUCUCUCUCUUCGAACUCCCAAAAUCUCCCUUGCCGCUCCUUUUUUCAGCCGCCAACUUUCACUCUUCUCU